This 352-nucleotide unclassified non-coding RNA is filed under the name soil metagenome. RNAcentral describes it as "partial contains 5.8S ribosomal RNA, internal transcribed spacer 2, and large subunit ribosomal RNA". The stretch from base 1 to 120 matches the Rfam family "5.8S ribosomal RNA", at positions 35 to 154 of the family's 154-position model. The record is from RNAcentral.
GAUGAAGAACGUAGCGAAACGCGAUACGUAAUGUGAAUUGCAGAAUUCAGUGAAUCAUCGAAUCUUUGAACGCACAUUGCGCCCGCCAGUAUUCUGGCGGGCAUGCCUGUUCGAGCGUCAUUACAACCCUCAGGCCCCCGGGCCUGGCGUUGGGGAUCGGCGGAGCCCCCCGUGGGCACACGCCGUCCCCCAAAUGCAGUGGCGGUCCCGCCGCAGCUUCCAUCGCGUAGUAGCUAACACCUCGCGACUGGAGAGCGGCGCGGCCACGCCGUAAAACACCCAACUCUUCUGAAGUUGACCUCGAAUCAGGUAGGAAUACCCGCUGAACUUAAGCAUAUCAAUAAGCGGAGGA